UAGAUUCAACUUUCGGCAGAUCCCUGCUACACAUUCGCGCAUGCGCAUUGAGACUUUCGCUUUCACUUUGGAUUGUGAAAAAGAAAAACACUUCGCACGCAGGAUUGUGUUGAAUAUUUUCCCUGUGAUGUGAUCAUGGUGAUGCGGGCUGAGGUUUUGUUCCCUAUCUUUGUGACAUAUUGCUUUGUAAUCGAUGUUUCCUGACAGCAAAAUUCCUCCAAGUUCUCCUGUUUGUCAUCUAGCCAUCAAUGUGUAACAAGUUGUCUCCCUGUAAUAUAUCUAUCAAGCUGGAGUCAAGGCUGGUGAAGUUAAGAUUGGGUAUAUGAAAGAGAUGUUGAAUUGGUUGAGGAAGUCCCUGGAGAAGUUUGUUAAGGCAAUGAUCAUAAAGUUGAUCAAGGACCUCACAACUGUGUCUAUCAUAGACAGCAACUCCCAGCUGAAUGACAACAUCAUUGCCACUGAUGUAAUGACAAGAGCUUACAUGGUGGACCAUGAGGAUGAAAAUCAAACAUCAUGACUACAGAGGUUUGUCAGAAAAUUCUAUUAUGCAGUGACAUCAAAGAUGCUGGUCAAAUUUCUGUUCAAGGAUAUGGUGGUAUCCAACCUUGGUUUCCUAAAUCCAGCAAAUGGAGGAGAUCUACCACCAACUGCCCUAACUGUGCUAGCACAGAGAUUCACUUCCAUAGUGCCCUAGGAUCAAUGGGAACAAAGGAAAGACAAAUUCAUGGACUACCAAACAAAUCCUGCUGUGGACCUCCCAGGUUUUGUAGAAGACACAAGAACAGAUGUUUACUGCAUGG
This is a long non-coding RNA of Saccostrea cuccullata (small rock oyster), 800 nucleotides long. RefSeq lists it as uncharacterized. Lineage: Eukaryota; Metazoa; Mollusca; Bivalvia; Ostreida; Ostreidae. The record is from RefSeq and is a predicted model, not a curated record. The transcript is spliced from 4 exons.